Molecule: non-coding RNA, 73 nt
Organism: Stegodyphus mimosarum
Lineage: Eukaryota; Metazoa; Arthropoda; Arachnida; Araneae; Eresidae
Source: Rfam
GCCUUCGUGGUGUAGUGGUCAGGCCGCUCGACGCGUAUUCGAGAGGUCCGUGGUUCAAGUCCCGGCGAGGGUA